Molecule: long non-coding RNA, 208 nt
Filed under: Trifolium pratense (red clover)
Lineage: Eukaryota; Viridiplantae; Streptophyta; Magnoliopsida; Fabales; Fabaceae
Description: long non-coding RNA (TPRA_LNC004540)
Source: RNAcentral
AGAGGGUUUUGCGAAACGAUGAUGGAGGAGAGUUUUUCAAUUGCGAAACGAUGAUGGUGGUUUUGCGAUUCUGAGAGAGAAUCUUACGAUGAUGGUGGUUUGGUUUUGCGAACCAUGGUGGAGAGAGAGGGUUUUGCGAUUCUGAUUGAGUUUUGCGAAAUGUUUUGAUGUUGAACGAGAAAUGGUUUAAUAAAAUAUAUGUAUUUUA